This 85-nucleotide non-coding RNA is filed under the name Paenalicyclobacillus macrosporangiidus. Its description in RNAcentral is "Alicyclobacillus macrosporangiidus c-di-GMP sequence". It matches the Rfam family "c-di-GMP-I riboswitch aptamer". Rfam says of the family: GEMM was predicted in a large-scale screen for bacterial structured RNA regulatory elements. Genes associated with GEMM are involved in a diverse array of functions, including chemotaxis regulation, signal transduction, secretion and chitin. The record is from Rfam by way of RNAcentral. Lineage: Bacteria; Bacillati; Bacillota; Bacilli; Caryophanales; Alicyclobacillaceae.
AGACACAACGGGCAAACCUCGGGAAACCGGGGGACGCAAAGCCAUGGGCCUACGGCGUUCAAGCUAUGGUUGCCAGGUUGCUAAU